UAUAUAUAUAUAUAUAUAUAUAUAUAUAUAUAUGUAAGAGAGUGGGUAUGUGAAAGCACAUGAUUGGAUGUAUAAAAGAGUGAAAAUACUACAGAAGGCUUGUGUUAUAAGGUUAAAGAAUAAAUUUAAGUCGUUACGUUAAAAAAAUGUUAUAUAAUUUUGUGUAUAGUAACAUAGUUUUUGGAGAAAUAA
This is a long non-coding RNA of Octopus sinensis (East Asian common octopus), 192 nucleotides long. RefSeq lists it as uncharacterized. The transcript is spliced from 2 exons. The record is from RefSeq and is a predicted model, not a curated record. NCBI's taxonomy places the organism in Eukaryota, Metazoa, Mollusca, Cephalopoda, Octopoda, Octopodidae.